UACAGAGGUCUCAAGCGUUGUUCGGAUUCAUUGGGCGUAAAGGGUGCGUAGGCGGCGCGGUAAGUCGGGUGUGAAAUCUUGGAGCUUAACUCCGAAACUGCAUUCGAUACUGCCGUGCUUGAGGACUGGAGAGGAGACUGGAAUUUACGGUGUAGCGGUGAAAUGCGUAGAUAUCGUAAGGAAGACCAGUGGCGAAGGCGGGUCUCUGGACAGUUCCUGACGCUGAAACACGAAGGCCAGGGGAGCAAACGGG
Molecule: ribosomal RNA, 253 nt
Filed under: uncultured bacterium
Lineage: Bacteria
Description: partial 16S ribosomal RNA
Rfam family: Bacterial small subunit ribosomal RNA
Source: RNAcentral